RNAcentral lists this ribosomal RNA (420 nucleotides) under uncultured eukaryote. Its description in RNAcentral is "bacterial SSU rRNA". It matches the Rfam family "Eukaryotic small subunit ribosomal RNA", at positions 592 to 1017 of the family's 1831-position model. The record is from RNAcentral.
CAAUAGCGUAUAUUAAAGUUGUUGCAGUUAAAAAGCUCGUAGUCAGAUUUUGGCACCAUGCCGAACUGUCUGCCGAUUGGUAUGCACGGUUUGGCGGGUGCUUCCUUCCGGAAGCCCGCGUUCUUCUUCACUGAAGAGCGUGGUGAGUCCGGAUCAUUUACUUUGAAAAAUUAGAGUGUUCAAAGCAGGCCUCCGCCUGAAUACUUGAGCAUGGAAUGAUAUCAAUAGGUCCUUCCUCCCCGUUUAUUGGUGAUGGGGAGGAAGGAAAUGAGAAAGGGGAAUGGUUGGGGCCAUUCGUACUGCAGCGUUAGAGGUGAAAUUCUUGGAUCGCUGCAAGACGAACAACAGCGAAAGCAUUUGGCAAGAACGUUUCCACCGGUCAAGAACGAAAGUUAAGGGAUCGAAGAUGAUCAGAUACCA